Molecule: ribosomal RNA, 259 nt
Filed under: uncultured prokaryote
Description: partial 16S ribosomal RNA
Rfam family: Bacterial small subunit ribosomal RNA
Source: RNAcentral
UACGGAGGAUCCAAGCGUUAUCCGGAUUUAUUGGGUUUAAAGGGUGCGCAGGCGGAAGAUUAAGUCGGCGGUGAAAUUUUGCAGCUCAACUGUAAAAGUGCCAUCGAUACUGGUUUUCUUGAGUGUGGAUGAAGUAGGCGGAAUUUGUGGUGUAGCGGUGAAGUGCAUAGAUAUCACGAGGAACUCCGAUUGCGCAGGCAGCUUACUAGGCCAUAACUGACGCUCAGGCACGAAGGCGUGGGGAUCAAACAGGAUUAGA